RNAcentral lists this long non-coding RNA (241 nucleotides) under Elaeis guineensis (African oil palm). RNAcentral describes it as "long non-coding RNA (EGUI_LNC046600)". Lineage: Eukaryota; Viridiplantae; Streptophyta; Magnoliopsida; Arecales; Arecaceae. The record is from RNAcentral.
CCCAAUGGUUGCUAGCAACUAUGCUCCUAUAGCACCCAUCCAAACCUAUAAUGGAUCUACAUUCAUUUAGAAAUCCCAUCUUGCAUGCAUCAACGCAAACAUAUAGCCUUUAGAAGAUUAGCUACUCCCUUUCCCUAGGCAAGGUUUCCAUAAGCAUGGUGCUACCUAGAUUUUCCUUCUCGACGAUGUCUUGGUACUCUUAGAGCUUCUCAUAUUACUCACUAUAUGACCCAUAAAUGAC